This 403-nucleotide ribosomal RNA is filed under the name uncultured bacterium. RNAcentral describes it as "partial 16S ribosomal RNA". It matches the Rfam family "Bacterial small subunit ribosomal RNA", at positions 28 to 526 of the family's 1533-position model. The record is from RNAcentral.
GACGAACGCUGGCGGCGUGCCUAAUACAUGCAAGUCGAACGCUGUGGGGACGGGAGAGUAACACGUGUGUAACCUCCCAUCAGAGGGGAACACACUUGGAAAAAGGUGCUAAACCGAUACUGAUGGACGGACCCGCGGUUCAUUAGUUAGUUGGUGAGGUAACUGCCCACCAAGGCCACGAUGCAUAGCCGGCCUGAGAGGAUGAUCAGCCACACUGGAACUGAGACACGGCCCAGACUCCUACGGGAGGCAGCAGUAGGGAAUAUUGGGCAAUGGGCGAAAGUCUGACCGAGCAACGCCGCGUGAGUGAAGAAGGUUUUCGGAUCGUAAAGCACUGUUAUUAGAGAAGCGGUAUCUACCCAGAAAGCAACGGCUAACUACGUGCCAGCAGCCGCGGUAAUAC